This 1217-nucleotide long non-coding RNA is filed under the name Heterocephalus glaber (naked mole-rat). RNAcentral describes it as "lncRNA (ENSHGLG00000039139.1)". Lineage: Eukaryota; Metazoa; Chordata; Mammalia; Rodentia; Bathyergidae. The record is from RNAcentral.
GAUGACAGGGACACUGCCUCACCUGGGUGACGGGCUGAGUAGCAGACACAGAUGUGCGACAUGACCCAACAGGGCUCUGGGAUGUGCCGCACCCCAUCUCCAGCCCUAGGGGCUCCACCUGGGCGGAGAUGCCAGCCAGAUGUCCUGUCACAGAAGUUGUUAGCUGUGCCCUGCCAGGCCAAAGAAAAGGGGUCAACAAACCACAGACUGAAACAUCUGAAUCCAGGAACCAAAGUAAACCUCUCCUGCUGCUGAGCUGAUCGCUCAGGUGUUCGUCACAGUGAGGGAAAGCUGCCCGGUACAGGGACGCAGAUGUUCAGACUGAAGCAGUCUCCCUUCUUCCCACUGUCCGUGUGAGGGACAGGCCAGUGGAAUGGGCCUAGCUCGCCUUCAGCCAUGUCUGGGGCCAUGCAGAGAUGACACCUGAGUCUGUCCCUUGGCCGCUCCAGUGCCCUGCCCUGCCCUGCCCGGCCCGGCCCGACACUGCUCUUUGGGCCACUGCAGCCCUCUCAGCCAGCAACCUGAUGGUAGCAAGCUUUCCCGGCACUGAGCUACCUUUGCACUGUGGCUGAAGUCACCUCACCCAGCACGGCACUGAGGGUGCCUGGCCCUGCUCCCCAGUGCCCAGGAUGCCUUGCUCCCUGGAUGGCACCAAAAUCAACCUCCCCCUGCUCUCCCGAGACAGAGUCUCACUAAAUUACCCAGGCAGGACUCAAAUUUGCAAUCCUCCUGCCUCAGCCUCCUUGAGUGCUGGGAUUACAGAUGUGCACCACCACACCUGGAUAUACCCAGCCUUUUUCUAACACCCCCUUGCCAUUUACACUGGCGCCUCAGCACCCUGGCCAAGCAUAUUUCUCCUGGAGUUCCCAUUCCCACUCCCUACCUGGGCAGUGCCAGGGCACCCUGCAGACUCUCUUCGUCCACCUGGCUCUGGGAGAAGGCUGCAGACUCCCCAGGCAGUUAUGACUCCCCAGCCAGUAAUCCCCUCGGCCCCUCUGAGGCAGGGGCUCCUUGAAAGCAGGACCUGACACCUGCCAGCCAUCCAUGGCAGCCGAGUGGAGCCCAGCCACCCCACUCAAGGAGCAGACCCUCGAAGGCUGCAUGGAAAUAAUUUUUAAUAUGCUGAAGCACAUUAAAAAUGCAUUAGAAAAGCAGGCGAUUUAAAUGGAAUUCCACAGGGAAUCGUUGUCUAAAAUCGAGAGCCUCUUUUUAAUGGG